CGGGGGAGCAAGCGUUGUUCGGAUUUACUGGGCGUAAAGGGCGCGUAGGCGGCCACCGCAAGUCGACUGUGAAAUCUCUGGGCUUAACCCAGAACGGUCAGCCGAUACUGCGGGGCUAGAGUGCAGAAGGGGCAACUGGAAUUCUCGGUGUAGCGGUGAAAUGCGUAGAUAUCGAGAGGAACACCUGCGGCGAAGGCGGGUUGCUGGGCUGGCACUGACGCUGAGGCGCGAAAGCUAGGGGAGCGAACGGGAUUAGAUACCCCGGUAGUCCUAGCCUUAAACGAUGAAUGCUUGGUGUCUGGGGUUUUAUAGUCCCCGGGUGCCGUCGCUAACGCUUUAAGCAUUCCGCCUGGGGAGUACGGUCGCAAGACUG
This 373-nucleotide ribosomal RNA is filed under the name uncultured organism. RNAcentral's name for it is "bacterial SSU rRNA". It matches the Rfam family "Bacterial small subunit ribosomal RNA", at positions 527 to 896 of the family's 1533-position model. The record is from RNAcentral.